UGGGGUUUUUGGGGACACUGGGGACAUUUGGGGACAUUUGGGGUCAUUUAUUUGGGGCCAUUUGGGACCAUUUGGGUGGGUUUGGGGGACAUUUAGGGUGGUUUUGGGGCCAUUUUGGGUGUUUGGGGGGCCAUUUUGGGUGCUUUUGGGGCCAUUUUGGGUGCUUUUGGGGGAUAUUUUGGGAUUUUGGGUUUUUGGGACCAUUUUGGGGCCAUUUUGGGGCCAUUUGGGACCAUUUGGGUGGGUUUGGGGGACAUUUAGGGUGGUUUUGGGGCCAUUUUGGGUGUUUGGGGGGCCAUUUUGGGUGCUUUUGGGGCCAUUUUGGGUGCUUUUGGGGGAUAUUUUGGGAUUUNNNNNNNNNNGACACUGGGGACAUUUGGGGCCAUUUGGGGCCAUUUUGGUGGUUUUGGGGGGACAUUUGGUGGGUUUGGGGGCCAUUUUGGGUGCUUUUGGGGUUAUAUUUUGGGAUUUGGGGUUUUUGGGACCAUUUUGGGGUCAUUUUGGGGCCAUUUGGGACCAUUUGGGUGGGUUUGGGGGACAUUUAGGGUGGUUUGGGGGCCAUUUUGGGUGGUUUUGGGGCCAUUUUGGGUGGUUUUAGGGCCAUUUUGGGUGCUUUUGGGCUUAUAUUUUGGGAUUUUGGGUUUUUGGGACCAUUUUGGGGCAAUUUUGGGGCAAUUUGGGACCAUCCUUGCCCUCCUUCCCCCGCAGGUCCCCCCAGAAGAAGACGCGGCCACCCCGCGGCCCCCGGUGACGUCCCCGCGUCCCCCCCGGGCCACCAAACGUCCCCAAAUUUCCCCAAAUCCCCCCUUGGGGGCCCCAAAACCACCCAAAAAGCCCCGGCUGGCCCCGGGGGGCCGCUGUCCCCAAACGUCCCCAAAUUCGUGUCCCCAAAUGUCCCAAACGACCCCAAAUUCGUGUCCCCAAACGUCCCCAAAUUCGUGUCCCCAAAUGUCCCCAAAUUCGUGUCCCCAAACGUCCCAAAAGUCCCGAACCUCAAUGUCCCCAAAUUCGUGUCCCCAAAUGUCCCAAACGACCCCAAAUUCGUGUCCCCAAACGUCCCCAAAUUCGUGUCCCCAAAUGUCCCCAAAUUCGUGUCCCCAAAUGUCCCAAACGACCCCAAAUUCAUGUCCCCAAACCUCGAGGACCUCCGAUUUGUCCCCGUGUCCCCAAAUGUCCCCAAAUUCGUGUCCCCAAAUGUCCCAAACGACCCCAAAUUUGUGUCCCCAAACCUCCUUGAGGUCCUCCAACUCUUCUCCUCCAACCUCUUCGAGGUUCUCCAAGCCAUGUUCUCAAAGGUUGAGGUCCUCCAACCCAUCCCAACCUUCUCCAACCUCCUCCAACCCAUGUCCUCCACCCCCUUUGAGGUCCUCCAACCCAUCCUCAUGUCCUUCAACUUCCUUGACCUCCUCUAACUCUUCUCCUCCAAUGUCCUCCAGGUCCUCCACCCCAUCCCAACCUCCUCCAACGUCCUUGACCUUCUCCAACCCACGUCCUCCAACCUCCUCGAGGUCCUCCAAGCCAUGUUCUCAAACGUUGAUGUCCUCCAACCCAUCUCUACCUCCUCCAACCUCCUCAACCUCCUCCAACUCUUGUCCUUCACCCUCCUUGAGGUCCUCCACCCCACAUCCUCCAACCUUCUCGAGGUCUUCCAAGCCAUGUUCUCAACGCUUGAGGUCCUCCAACCCAUCCCGACCUCCUCCAACCUCCUUGACCUCCACCCCAUGUCCUCAACCCUCCUUGAGGUCCUCCAACUCUUCUCCUCCAACCUCUUUGAGGUCCUCCAACUCAUCCUCAUGUCCUCCAACCUCCUCGAUCUCCUCCACCUCUUCUCCUCCAACCUCCUUGAGGUCCUCCAACCCAUCCCCACCUCCUCCAACCUCCUCCAACUCUUCUCCUCCAACCUCUUCGAGGUCCUCCAAGCCAUGUUCUAAAAGGUUGAGGUCCUCCACCCCAUCCCAACCUUCUCCAACCUCCUCCACCCCACAUCCUCCACCCCCGUUGAGGUC
RNAcentral lists this long non-coding RNA (2006 nucleotides) under Anas zonorhyncha (Eastern spot-billed duck). RNAcentral describes it as "lncRNA (ENSAZOG00000005246.1)". Lineage: Eukaryota; Metazoa; Chordata; Aves; Anseriformes; Anatidae. The record is from RNAcentral.